This 25-nucleotide unclassified non-coding RNA is filed under the name synthetic construct. The record is from RNAcentral.
GGCACAGAAGAUAUGGCUUCGUGCC